GGCUGGGUUUAUGAGGAAAGUAAGGAGAUGGGACUUAGGAGAUGAGGCUGGGGGAGGGGGGGGGGGUUAGAUUGUGUGGGUGGUUACUGGGCGAGGUGUUUGGUGAGUUUGGUGUGGUGAGAGUGCCUGUCACAUCCCAAAUCAAGAGGUCAUGAAAUUGGUGUUGUGGAGUUGAUGGGGGGUGCUCUCUCCUUCACCACGCCCGCCAUCACCACCACCAACACCACCACCACGCAAUUCUUCUUCGUCUUCUUUCACUUCCUUUUCACAGCUUUUGUCUUUCACUUAAAAUUUUUCUAAUACAGUUUCGUUUCUUUCUCCUGUUCUUUUAUUUAUUCACAAUCAUUCACACCAUCAAUUACUUCUUACUCGUUUUCUGCCACUUCCUUUACACAAUUUUUCUUUCACUCAAAAAAUUUCCUCAUAUAAUUUUCUUCCUUUCUCCUGUCCUCUUAUUCACAAAGUCACCAUCAUCACCACCAUCAUUAUUUUUUCAACUUCAGUGUUCUCAGAUAACCAAGGAAGUGGCGAAGUGGCUGAGGUGUCGCCUUGUGAUUUGAUGGCCCAAGGUUCGAAAUGUGAGACUAGUUGGGUGUUUGGGCGCUACUUAGGCGUUGGAUCUUACUUAUCUGUUUGGCAAGUCGGUGUUUAUCAUUGUUAUCAUUAUUUUUUAGCUGCUCUGAAUAGAAAUGGAAAUGUUUUGAUCUUGUUUUCUUUCCUUUAAUUUGCGCUCUUUUGUAUUUCAUUUGUUAUCUUGAUCUGUUUUUUUUGUUAUUUUUCUCUUUCACU
Long non-coding RNA from Eriocheir sinensis (Chinese mitten crab), 789 nucleotides. RefSeq lists it as uncharacterized. Lineage: Eukaryota; Metazoa; Arthropoda; Malacostraca; Decapoda; Varunidae. The transcript is spliced from 2 exons. The record is from RefSeq and is a predicted model, not a curated record.